Molecule: non-coding RNA, 27 nt
Filed under: Mus musculus (house mouse)
Lineage: Eukaryota; Metazoa; Chordata; Mammalia; Rodentia; Muridae
Source: RNAcentral
UAAGACCAAAGGCCUGCUACUGUGAGC